This 475-nucleotide ribosomal RNA is filed under the name uncultured organism. Its description in RNAcentral is "partial 16S ribosomal RNA". It matches the Rfam family "Bacterial small subunit ribosomal RNA", at positions 334 to 800 of the family's 1533-position model. The record is from RNAcentral.
CACUCCUGCGGGAGGCAGCAGUGGGGAAUUUUGGACAAUGGGCGAAAGCCUGACCCAGCCAUGCCGCGUGCAGGAUGAAGGCCUUCGGGUUGUAAACUGCUUUUGUACGGAACGAAAAGGCCUUUUCUAAUAAAGAGGGCUAAUGACGGUACCGUAAGAAUAAGCACCGGCUAACUACGUGCCAGCAGCCGCGGUAAUACGUAGGGUGCAAGCGUUAAUCGGAAUUACUGGGCGUAAAGCGUGCGCAGGCGGUUAUGUAAGACAGUUGUGAAAUCCCCGGGCUCAACCUGGGAACUGCAUCUGUGACUGCAUAGCUAGAGUACGGUAGAGGGGGAUGGAAUUCCGCGUGUAGCAGUGAAGUGCGUAGAUAUGCGGAGGAACACCGAUGGCGAAGGCAAUCCCCUGGACCUGUACUGACGCUCAUGCACGAAAGCGUGGGGAGCAAACAGGAUUAGAUACCCUAGUAGUCCCAUGA